Molecule: non-coding RNA, 10294 nt
Organism: Delphinapterus leucas (beluga whale)
Lineage: Eukaryota; Metazoa; Chordata; Mammalia; Artiodactyla; Monodontidae
Source: RefSeq, a predicted model, not a curated record
ACCGGGGCACGAGCCCGUGCCCCCUGCAUUGGCAGGUGGACUCCCAACCACUGCACCACCAGGGAAGCCCGAUAUUUGCUUUUUGUUUUCUUUAAGAGACUUGCUGAUUUAGAAUUUCCAAAAUCCUAUGUUAGACUUAUGCUGAAUGACUUUGCCUCCUUAGGUUUUUCUUCACAAAACCAGCUCCUUUGGCCUAUUAAUUAGCUUGGUCGGAAAACUCUUUGUGUACGUGUGUCCUCGCUCACAUAUUAGAAUGAUGAGAUGAGAUCUCAUUCUGAUCAUAUUACAAUUAGUUUUAGACUUUCUCUGCUGUCAUCUCUUGGAAUUUUCUAAUUAAAUUUCUUUCACUUUUUGUUCUGAUGUGGUUAAUCUUAGUUUCUUUGAAUUUAGCUUAUUUAACACAUAACUGAGGACGUUAUAAAAUUUAAAAUAGCUUGUUUAGAGAGCUCUUCCUUGGAAAGGCUCUGGAUGAAUAUGUGGUAUGCUAAUACCGUGCCAGAAAGGACAAAGAAAUAUGCUUUGACAUUUGACACCUAUGGAUGAUCAUCCAAAAUCAGUUUCAUCAUCACACCCAAAAAAUGUAUUGGAAUAAAGAAUAAAUUUACCCACCAAAAGGGGCUGUAUUAGAGGGAAAUAUUCACUUCAUUUACGCUAAAUAUAUUUUGCAAAUACAAUACAGCCACUAAAUGUAGAAGCAGAAGAGUUUUUGGUUUCUACUCGGAGUUCAUUAGGAGAAUUUUUUUAUCUGUAUUUUGACUUACUCAUUUCCAUAAAUAAUUGAAUAACUACUAUCAGGGAGGGGGAAAUUUCCCCCCAUCCCUCUUGAGUUCUUUUGGCUGGUCUAAUAAUUAAAUUGACCCAAGACAUAUUAACGGGAGAAAGAAGUAAAACAAAACAAUUUAAUUUGCAUGUGUAGAAUUCUCAGAGAAAUGGGACCCCCGAAGUGACCAAAGCAAGUUGUCCAUAUAUCAUUUUUAGACAAAGAAAGAUUUAUGAAGAUUUAAGUUAUGCUAGGGAGCAAACUGAUGAAGAAGUAACAACAUUUGUUUAUAGUGUAGCUUUUUAAGCCUUGAGUUCCCUAACUCGGGUGAUAAGGACGCUUUGUAGCCUCCUGGUAUAGGGAGGAUACCUUCACCUGGGAGAUUUAUUUCUUGAUUUCAUGGGGAAGGGGGAAGUCAGAGUGUUUUUUAUAUCUUUUGUUUCCACCAGCUGUUUCUCAAGUAACUUUAAUUCAAAAUAAUCAGUAUGCCACUGUGACAUAUCUUGGGGCAGCCUGUCCUGAGCCCCAGCACUGCCAUGCUUGGUACUUUGGAGAAGGCAAAUAUGUAUAAGACAUCACUCAUAUCCUAAAGGAACUUGUGGUCUAGUAAACUACGCCUACAGGUAACUAUAAUGCAAGGCACUUUCAGACAAAGAGAAACAGAUCCCUUCCAGUCGGGCUCCUCAGGGAGGGCAGGUAAACGAAGCUGAGUGGUAAAGCUGCAAGGACACAUUUUCAGCCUUCUCCUAAUAACUGUCCAAAAUUUUAGGUGUUUGAUACAUUCGCCAUCAAGUGGGAUCUUCUAAAGUGUAAUUGCUUUUACUUUGGCAAAUUUUCUCUUAAGAUAAGUUUUAUAAGAAGUAUUUAACUGCUUCUGUAUACUGUUUAUUGUUCUCUUUGCAUUUUAACACUGCAAGAUUCACUUCUGUGAAUCUUGGACCGCAAAGUACAAUUGGUCAAUACGGGAAAUAAUCAGUAACACAUUGGGCAAUACAAACAGAAAGAUUCUAUAAGAUUUUCUCUCCAAAAAUUUGACUUAUUUAUCUGUAUUCAAAACGUCAAAUGUUUGGGCUCAUUGAUUAGAGCAGAAAAUAUUGAUGCUGCUUGUUUUCUUUACAAAGCGCUGACCUGUUGCUUUUUAAAAUCUGGUCAUGGUGAUGUGGUGGUGGUUUGUUUUCUCAUCCCAAUUCGAACGUCCAAAAGAAAAUCCAAAUCUAGCUGACACCUAAACAAUAGAAUGUUAUAUUAGUUUGUUGUCCAAAAUGGAACGCGCACAAGGCAGCCUGGCUGGCCCCAGUUUCACAGUCGACUGCCGACUUCACUUCAGAUUAUGUAAACAUGUAUUGCAAAACAGCUCUGACGGGAACCUCAUAACCUAAACACUGUUCUCUGAAAUGUAAUUUGUUGUCUUUUUAUAUAAAAGAAGAAAUUAAAUCAAAAUUAUUUUGAAGAAAAACGACUCUGGGAUUUUGUUUAAUUGAACUUUGCCAGGAAAUGCCAUUGCCUAGUAGCACUGACCCCAGGGUAGAAGGAGACAAUCUUUUGCAGGGUCAGACUUCUCAAGUGACUCUGCAUGUGUCACAUGAGGUCACUCAAGUGACCGAUGCAUGUCUCACAUGCCCUCCCUCAUGUUCUAGAUCCUAAAAAAAAAAAAAGGUAUAUGCUUUGUAUGUUAACCAAAACCUAAAAUGAUCAUCCCUUUUGGACAAUAAUACUGUGUGACUUCUCCCUCUAAGAGCAUUUCAGAAUGAAUGUGGCACUUCAGAUAAGUGUAGCCCAGUUUCUGGCAAAGAGCUUAGUAUCAUAAUCUUACAGAGCCAUUUAAGGCAAUAGAGAGCUCUAAUCUUCUGCCUGCCUUAAGUAAAAUUCCUUUUUUUCCACAAUGCCAUUUUUUAAAUAUAUUUCUCAACUCUUCUGCAAAGAUAAAAUAAGGCUGUGUCUUUUUAAAAGAUUAAAAAUUCCUCCAUUCUCCUUAUUCAUCUCAGGCCAUAAAGUACAGGGCUGGGAUAGGGAUUAGAAAGAGCACACUCUCUGCAGAUUUUUCCUCCUUUGGGUCUCUCUUGAUAUCUCAAGUAAUCCAACUGUGUUUGGUUUUAACAGACACUUAAUAUACACUUGUUUAAUCAAUCAAUUAAUGAGGCAGGAUUCCACUUUAAUGGAAAACAAUAAUUGCUACUUUUUAAGAGUUUUUCGUUUCUACUUGGAGUUCAGUACCCCCCCCCAAAAAAAAAAAAAUAGGGCCAUUCAGGUUCAGAAUUAGUCUCUCGGCCAAUUCGGCCAAUAUUUAAGUACUAACCGGAUGCCAGACUCUGUGCUAAGCACAGAGCAUCCAGUGGUGAACAAGGUGGAUGUGGCCCUGACAGCAUCCUUGCCCACCCUCUGAACUCGGGCAGCUGGUCAUUUUCCAAGAUAAAACAACUUUAAUUAUAAUCACACAAAGUUAUGUAGACAUGUGGACAAAAACUGGAAGGGGCCACAGAAGAAUAAAUGUGGGUUACCUGUUGAAGUGAUGAGACUCUAGGUGAAUCAUUUAUGUUGUUACUUUAUUAUCUGCAUGACAAGCUUUCUAAAAGGAUGUCUGUAUUAAAAGAAGGCUUGUAGAAAUUUACCUAGACUCAAGCCAUGAAGUAAAGGACCAACUUACAAAGAACUUUUGGGAUGGGGGAUAGAGGUCAUUGGUUACAGGGCAGGUCCAAGUUUAGUGGGGCCUGAAGUUAUAUAAUUUGUUCUUCCCUCUUAAGGAAAAACAUACAAAAUUAGGAAGAACCCCAUACAAGUGAGGAUCCCUUGCUUUAACGUUUUUUAGCUUUAAGGUAAAUCAUCCACACAGCUCUGGGGACGGGACUUAGAAGACUGAAGGAGGUGUAAUGAAGAAAAGUUUCAGCACUCGAAUAUGUCAAGCUUUGAGUGCCUCUGCUACCUUUAAGAACUGCAACUUUUACUAGAUCUGAGCCUUUACUUCUCAAAGAGUCUAAUUGGAUUUAGCAAAAUAGCAUGGGAUACAAAUUCAGUAAUGGUUAAUAUGGGAUCACAAUAGGACAUUUUUCUUUUUUAGAGAGGUUUUACUUGGGAAUGGGUUUUGCAGCAGGGGGGUUUCCUUUUAACUUUACAGAAAUAAUAGAGUUCAAAGAUACUGUUUGUCAAAUACCUAUUCAAUGAACCUUAGAGAUGAGGAACAUUUUAAGGGCUCUUGAUGCAGAAAACAAGCCACCAAGAGCAACAUUAGAAUAAGGUAACAUUUAUUUAUUCAUACUUCACUUUGUCCCAGAAGGGACCUAUUUUCACUACAGUAAAGUAAAAUCAACUGCAUAAUUGUCUCCUUUUUUAGAGACUAAAUUAGAACUUUAUGACACUCUUUAAGGAGAGGAAACUAUUCAAAUAAUUAUACCUUUUAUAAUUUUAUAGUUCUUUGUAGCUUAUAUUAUAGUUCUUUAUUGUAGGUAGAUAAAGCAUAAUUCAAUGAGGUAAACGUAUUGAUGAUUGUCCUAGAAUUGGAAAUGCAAAUAUAGAGUUAUCCUUCCCAGUGCUGCUAGAAUUCUCUUAAUGUAACAUGAACCUGAUUAUAUCCCUCCUCUGUAAAAUCCUGCAGUGCCCCAAUAGAAAAAUGGGCAAGGGCCUUGUAACAGACAGCUCUCAGAGGAACAACUGCAAGUUAACAUGAAGAUUUAAAAAGUUCAGAGUCGAAAUACUGAUCUGUGCUAACGAAUAAACCUCAAAAACAUGAAAGUGAAGGAAGCUACAUGCAAAAGACUAACAGUUCCAUUUAUAUGAAAUGUCUAGAAAGGGCAAAUUUAUAGGAACAGAAAGCGAAAUAGUAGUUGCCUGUGUCUGGGGGUGGGAGCAGGGACUCACUGUAUAUGGCCACGUGGAGGAGAUUUUCUAGGGUGAUAGAAAUGUUCUAAAAGUGGAUUGUGGUAAUAGUUGCACAACUAUAUAAUUACUAAAAUCAUUGAAUUGUACACUUACAUUGAAUUUUAUGAAGUGUAAAUUAUCCCUUGAAGCAGUUUUUUAAGAAGUUCAACCUCAGUAGAAAAGUAAUUUAAAAUGCUUUCUACUUGUCGAAUACUAAAAGAAUAGUAACUAUUAUUAUACACUGACAAAGGUAUGGGAAUGAACACUCAUACACAAGUGGUUGGUGUAAAAGUGUCUGUAAACUUUCUGAAGAUAAUUUGACAAUAUGCAUCAAAGCCUCAAAAUGCUCAUAUACUUUGACUCACUUCCAGAUGUAUGUCCUAAUUGGAAGGUGUGGAUAUAUAAACACAAAGAGAUAUUUAUCUCUUUACUAUUUGUAAUGGAAAAAUUAGAAACAACCUAAAUGUCCAACAAUAGGAGAUAAAUUAUAGAAUACCCAUCAAUAGAAUACUGUUUAGCUAUUUAAAAUGAUGAUGCAGGUGCCUAUAUGUAAUAAGUGUGAAAAAGAUAUUCAUAAAUAUAAGUAGAGUACAAUUAUGUAUAGAAUUUAAAAUAUUUGUGUAUAUAUAUGUAUAUAUUGGAAGUUUAUAUAACAAAUAUGAAUAUUGGGCAUCUGGGUAUUAGGACUAUUGGGUGUUUCUUUUCUCAUUUGUUUAUCUGUAUUUUCUAAAGUUUUUAAAUGUGUCAUGUUUUAUGAAAAAAAGCAAUAAAAUUUUUUUUUCUUAAAAAAGAAAAUAUCUUUCACUGACUUCUCAUGACUUUAACUAUAAGGAUCGCUUUUGAUAUAACAAAAUCCUUUGGACCCUCACACAAUAGUACUUCUGUUUUUAGUAUUUAUUGAUUUAUAAAAAUAAUGACCAAAAGCUACUAUAACUCCUAUACCACUUAUACAUAGCUUUGAAUAUAUUCUUAAAGUAUCUACAAACAUUUAAACAAGCGCCCCCCACCCCCUGCACACACACACACUCACACACACACCUUUUAGACCUAUUUAGUCUACAUUAUAAACUUUGAAACAAUUCUGUGGUCUGCAGGUUGGGAAGGACCAACCUAGAGAAUAAAAUAGAAAUGCUUUAGCUUUUUAUUUAGGCUUUUUAUUACAAUCUUUAUACCUUUCGAACCUCACACCAGUUCAUACAAAACUACUAAUUCUCUCUUAUUCCAUCUGCUUUUUGUACAUGCUGUGCCCUGAGCCUGACGUGCCCUUUUCCUUUUGUACACUUGACAAAUGUUUAUCUUUCAGGAGGUUGCUUGGAAAUCAGCCUUAACUGCCUCCCAAAUAGUUUAGGUGCCCCCUUUUCUGUGCUGUCCACUUCACACAUGCUUUUAAUGUAGCAUUUAUCACAUUGUAUUGUAAUUACUGGCUGUGUAUAUUUCACCAUCCAGAGGAGGAAGUUCACCUUUGUACCCACUGCCUCUAGCACAUUGUCUACAAUAGAAGAGGCGCCUGCAAUCUUAGUUGAAUGAGUGCACAGAGAAAGACCCAGUCCUUGCCCUUAGGGCACUCGUAGUCUAGUUAGGGAGACAUGCCUGUCUAAUAUAUGAUUAGUCCUAUAAUAAAAGAUGUGAAUGAGCACACAGAAGACUUAGUGAUUAAUUUUGACUUGGUAAUUAGGCAUUGCUUUCCAGAAUAGGGUCCAUUUGAAUUAAACUUAUUUUGACAAGUUGCAGAAAGGAGGAAUAAAAGCCUUGAGUCCCUUGUUACACUUUAGAAAUUCAUUUUGUAGAAAAAUGGAAAUGACUCACCAGCUACUCCCUGAACUUCCAGCUCUCCAGCUACCCUCAGCCCUAGCUAAGCCUGAUUCCCACUGCCCCAGCUUCCCUUUCAUCUCAUUGUCAAAAAUCACUGACAGUAAAUUUCCUUUUUAGGAUGCUGAGUUGGCACUCUAAUCUGGCAAAGAGUUUGCUUACCUGCUCAGAUACAUGUUUGGGUGGUAAGAAAAAGUGCUAUGUGAGGGCAUGGGAGAACUGAUUUCUAAUCCUGGCUUUGCCAUAGAAUCACUGAAUAGACUAGCUUUAUGACACGUUCACACUUCUUGGCCUUCAGUUUCUUCUUUGGCACAAUGGAGGUAGUUAGAAUAAUUAUACCUCUUUUACCUAAUUUAUGUAAUUAUUUAGAAGAAUAUAUAACACUAUGUAAAAACACCUUAUUAAGCUGUGAUACACUGUACAAAUGCUCAGUCUGGGGAUUAUAUCAUUACAUUCCUGAAAACACUUCAUGGAAUUGGCCAGACUCCUCCUAUUGAGGGGCUGUACAGCUUAAGAAGAGAAGCAUGGCAGUGGGUUGGGAAAAGAAAUCUUUUACAGUCAGGUGAAUGGUUUUCAAGUGAGUGUGGGUGAUAAAACAUCUGGAAAUCAUGGAAACACAAAACAUUGAUGCAUUUAAUUACAUCAUGCAAAUCAGGACUAUUUAGUCCUAGUUAGUCCUGGCUUUUCUGGCAAAACCAUGAUUAUGUUAUAUGUAUACAAAUAAAAAGUAAAGGAGAUAUCCUACUCCUCAGCUCUUUCCUCAGUCUAAGCCCAAAGUAGGGUUACUUGAGCCCUUUACUCACUGUGGUAGUCAGGGUUCUCAGAAAAAUAGAACCAAUAGGAGACAGGUAGAUAGAUGAUAGAUAGAUAGAUAGAUAGAUGGAUAGAUGGAUGGGUGGAUAGGAAGGUAUCUUAAAGAAUUGAUUUACGUGAUUGUAGAGGCUGCUAAGUCCAAAAUCUGCAGGGCAGGCUGGCAGGCUAGAGACCCAGGAAAGAGCUGAUGUUACAGGCAGUCUGCAGGCAGAAUUCCCUCUUCCUCAGGGGAUGUCAGUCUUUCUCUUAAGGCCUUCAACUGAUUGGAUGAGGCCCACCCACACUCUGCUUUACUCAGAGUCUAUUGAUUUCAGUGUUUAUCUCAUCUUAAAAGGAACUUCAGAGCAACAUCCAGCCAUGUUUGACCAAAUAAUCUGAUACCACAGCCUAGCCAAUAUGACACAAAAUUAACCAUCAUACUCACCAACUUUUAAAUCACAGCAGCAGGUUGCAAAGAGUUUCCCCCUCCCUUCCUUACCAGUUUUCCAGGAAUUUCUUAAGGCUGAAUGUCCAAUGGCGAUGCUGGGUGUGCCAUGUUAGGAGAUAGCAUGUCAUAUGAUAGCAGGUCCAGCAGACAGCAGCUCUGAAACACUGAGAGAUGAGGCCCAACUGGGACAGCUGGCAGGGACAAGCCAGUCCUGGGGCCAGGAGUGAGAGGCAGAAAGGGAUCCUCUGGUCAGGCCAUUGCUCAAGGCCCAGCAGCAAACGGUGCCUUCACAAAGCAGUUCUAAUCCUAUCCAUCGGGCCCAGCACCUCCCAGGUCACAGACUGAGCCCAAAAGGCAGCGUCAGGUUAAGUUUGAAUGAGAAACUUAGCCUGAUGCUGGUGAAACACUCAGAGGCUGUCUUUAAUUACAGUUGACUUUGUUCCCUUUUUUUCACAUUUACAGGUUGUUCUAAGGUUUUCUUUAAUUGUGUAUUAUGCAAAGGCCAAGUCUAAAUCAUCUCCGACAGCCGUGCUGCUCUGAAUCCUGAUUCGAAAUCUUGGUGAAGGUGUAUUUUGUUGUUUCUCUAAGUCCUUCUCAAGUAGUUCUCUUGGUUCCUUUGUUUCUGAUGACCUUUUGUCUAGUACCUGGAGCAUAUUAAUGCUCUAUGGUUAAUCAGAUUUAGACCGCUGCAGGAAUUGUGUUAGUUUAUCAAGUUAGCUCAAGGGGAUUCUCUGCGGAAAAAAAAGCUAAGGUUUGCAGAGGUUCCAGUAGUUCUCAACCCUGACCGACUUCACUGGGCUCAAUACUGUACCAAAAGCAGCCAAACCUAUUUCCCCAGCACUACUCAACAGUUUGGAAAUUGCCAGUUGUUACUCUCUAAGUGUUUUGGUUACUGCUUUAUCCUUAACACCUGUUACUUUGUCACACGGCAGAUGGAUGCUCAGGAAAUACUUGUUGAUGGAAUGAACAGGAUACCUGGUAGAAUAAUUUGUUGUAACAAAUCAAACUACAAACAAAAUAGAAGAAAGUAUGAGUGAAUGCUUCUCUUGGCUGUGUAUGGAUAAAAACUAUCUUAAGUUUACGAGCCAUGGAGGAAAUCAUCUGGAAAAAAAGAUGGAUUUUCUAAUAUUCACCUUUCUUCAAAAUGAUCCUGAAAGAUGAGUCAGAAGUCCCAUAACUGCUUUCCAUAGGGGGAAGCUGGGGCCCAGAAAGGUUAAGCAAAUUCCCUACCAGGGCAUCAGAGGAACUCUAGGUUCUCAAGUGGUUAUGGAAAUCUAGUCAAAAUGGAAUGAAACUUCUGCUUCCUUAGGUUAUCUUUCCUGUUUGUUUAAAAUUAGAUCCUUUCUAUUUUAUCAGUUCCUAGGAGAUUGUUGUUGACACAUGUAAAUUUGGAGUCCCCUCUAAUUGGAACCAGUUUUCUCCAGGACGCCCCAGUCAUUGGUUAUGAGACCUCUCCUCCUCAUAUAAACAUAGCCCUCAGGACUUGCCUGGUGGUCCGGUGGGUAAGACUCCAAGCUCCCAAUGCAGGGGGCUUGGGUUCGAUCCCUGGUUGGGGAACUAGAUCUCAGCAUGCAUGCUGCAACUAAGACCUGGCACAGCCUAAAUAAAUAAGUAAAUAAAUAUUAAAAAGAAAAGAAACCUAGCCUUUUAAAAAUAAUAAAAAUAAAAAAAUACAGCCCUCUUCUGGCCAAGCAGGCCAUUGCUGAUCAAUGUCACCAAUAUUACCCAGAGGAUGUAGAGUGACCCGUUUAAUUGCUGGCCCUGGAGUGUAUUGUCUAUGAAACCCAUGUAUUCAGGGGUUUUUCACUUAGUAAAGCUGUUUGAACAUAUUUACUCUCAGAGUUUUAUUAUUUACUUUUAGAUUCCAAGAUAUUUUGAUCAUCUGAAUUGAGAAAGAAAGAUUUAACCUUGAGAAAGGAGAAAAAGUAGAGAGGGAGUUACGGGUUUUGUGAAUUUUAGAUUUUCCCAGGGAAAAAGUUGAAAAGGGGACAAUUCUAUUUUUAGGCGCACAAAAUUCUUGAGCCAUAUGAUGUACUUCCGUUUUCAUAGAGUGAAGUUAGAAGGACUCUAAGAGAUUUUUUUUGUCCAACCUCUCCACCUUACAGAUGAAGAAAUUGAAUUCAAGCUUGCAGGAUCUCAGUUCCCUGACCAGGGAUUGAACCCGGGCCAUGGUAGUGAAAGCGCUGAAUCCUAACCACCGGACGACCAGGGAACUCCCCGAAUUUAGGUUUUUAAAAUAAUUUUGAUCUUUUACAUUUAGCUCAUUGAUCUAUCUGAAAUGUGAUUUCCUGUGUUAUGUGAGAUGGGGGUCUAACUUCCUCAUUUUGUCAAUAUUGAGUAUGAGAGGAGGAGCAGAGCACUAGGUGUGGGAAGAGAAAGGAAGGCAGCUAAAGGCAGCCACCAGGUUAUACAAUCCACUCAACAAAAUAAAAGCCCUCAGCUUACCAGACCUGACCCCUGUGGAUACCUUAGAAGGCCAGUUAGGGACCACGUAGAAGGGUUGCAUCAUGUUUGCAUUUGGGGGUUUAACUGUACAGGCUUUUAAGCUUCUGAGGGCCCAGAUACUAGCAACUUUAGGACAUUUUAAGAGACUUUUUUUUUUUUUUUUUUGCGGGGUACACAGGCCUCACUGU